AAACCAAACAAUAACUACUUAAAAUCUUUAUCAAGAUGGUGGGGGUGGGGAGUAGGAGGAGCAGAGAACUAUUUAAACUAAAAAAGAGGUUAAAAGAGGAUUUGCCACCUUGCCUAUUUUAGCAUAGGGGUAGGAGUUUAACGUUUGAGGCAAUAGCAAAGAUGAUGGAGAUUAGUGCUUCUCAGCACACAUUCUCAGUGCAUUAGGUCAUUGCUUGGUGUCCACUGCCUGCAGCAGAAGGGCUCAUCAUUGUGUUCCCCGUGCUCACUCCCAACCAGUCCUGCUGUUUCGGCUCCAAGCAGAGAGGAGGAGGCCCUGCCUGUCUCCAUGACAACCAUGUGUCGUCCAGGAAGCUGCUCAGAGCUAAAGACCUUCUGAGGCGGGGGAGGGGCCGUUUCUGAGAAAAAACUCACCUCGUUUCUCCUCUUUGCAGCGCAAUUUGCUAAAUUGUGUCUCUUUUAUUGUGUUUUUAUAUAAGACUAUUUACACAAAAGUCACACACCCCAAACCUUAUUUCAUGAACAUAAAAGCCACAUCACAAGAAUUUUUCUAGCAUCUCGCACAUAAUUUCACACACCCCUCUCCUUUUUGUGUUAACUUUAACUUUGUCUCUAGUUCUUCAUUAUUACCCUAGAAUGCUUUAAAUAUUAAUGAACAUUCAAAAGCCAAACACUCCCUGGCAAUAUUGUUAGCAUACAUUAUGAAUACUUGAAAGGAAACACUUUUUGCUUUGCUUUGUGCUUAAAUUUACUAGUAUAAUUUAAAACUGUAGCAUUAAAAAUGUCUUACCAUUAGACGACAUUAGACGUAUGUUAUAUGUAUUAUAAAAAACUAAAUAUAUCAAAUUAAUUCACUAGAGGGUGAGCAAUUGAUUUAUAAUUGUCACAAAUCCUUAACAAUAUUUUACACAUACACAUAUU
Molecule: long non-coding RNA, 920 nt
Filed under: Callithrix jacchus (white-tufted-ear marmoset)
Lineage: Eukaryota; Metazoa; Chordata; Mammalia; Primates; Cebidae
Description: lncRNA (ENSCJAG00000055425.2)
Source: RNAcentral